Molecule: ribosomal RNA, 253 nt
Filed under: uncultured bacterium
Lineage: Bacteria
Description: partial 16S ribosomal RNA
Rfam family: Bacterial small subunit ribosomal RNA
Source: RNAcentral
UACGGAGGGUGCAAGCGUUAUCCGGAUUCACUGGGCGUAAAGGGUGCGCAGGUGGGUUGGCAAGUUUGAUGUGAAAGCCCCGGGCUUAACCCGGGAAUGGCAUUGAAUACUGCUGAUCUGGAGGAUCGGAGGGGGGACUGGAAUUCUUGGUGUAGCAGUGAAAUGCGUAGAUAUCAAGAGGAACACCAGUGGCGAAGGCGAGUCCCUGGACGAUACCUGACACUGAGGCACGAAAGCCGGGGGAGCAAACAGG